GCCAUCACAAGGUUAACAACUGAUACAGCAUUGAGCUGGAUUUUUAGAAUUGCCAUUACUCCCAUAAGAUCCAGAACAAUCAUGGUCAGCACGAGCAAGAUAAUUGCUGAAGUCCAAAAACUACAAGUGAUAACUAAGCAUACAAUAAAUACGGCACCAAUAGCAAUCGCUAAGUUAAUUAGGGCUGUCCUCCAUAUGCUUAAAUAUUGCUCAAAGAACAUAUAAAACACUGCAUACGGGAAGACCUCCAUCUUUA
Molecule: unclassified non-coding RNA, 256 nt
Filed under: Hevea brasiliensis (rubber tree)
Lineage: Eukaryota; Viridiplantae; Streptophyta; Magnoliopsida; Malpighiales; Euphorbiaceae
Source: RNAcentral